Molecule: ribosomal RNA, 492 nt
Filed under: uncultured bacterium
Lineage: Bacteria
Description: partial 16S ribosomal RNA
Rfam family: Bacterial small subunit ribosomal RNA
Source: RNAcentral
AGUGAACGCUGGCGGUAGGCCUAACACAUGCAAGUCGAACGGCAGCACAGUAAGAGCUUGCUCUUACGGGUGGCGAGUGGCGGACGGGUGAGGAAUACAUCGGAAUCUACUUUUUCGUGGGGGAUAACGUAGGGAAACUUACGCUAAUACCGCAUACGACCUACGGGUGAAAGCAGGGGAUCUUCGGACCUUGCGCGAUUGAAUGAGCCGAUGUCGGAUUAGCUAGUUGGCGGGGUAAAGGCCCACCAUGGCGACGAUCCGUAGCUGGUCUGAGAGGAUGAUCAGCCACACUGGAACUGAGACACGGUCCAGACUCCUACGGGAGGCAGCAGUGGGGAAUAUUGGACAAUGGGCGCAAGCCUGAUCCAGCCAUACCGCGUGGGUGAAGAAGGCCUUCGGGUUGUAAAGCCCUUUUGUUGGGAAAGAAAAGCAGCAGGUUAAUACCCCGCUGUUCUGACGGUACCCAAAGAAUAAGCACCGGCCAACUUCGUG